Ursus americanus (American black bear) is the source of this 100-nucleotide unclassified non-coding RNA. It matches the Rfam family "Y RNA". Rfam says of the family: Y RNAs are components of the Ro ribonucleoprotein particle (Ro RNP), in association with Ro60 and La proteins. The Y RNAs and Ro60 and La proteins are well conserved, but the function of the Ro RNP is not known. The record is from Ensembl. Lineage: Eukaryota; Metazoa; Chordata; Mammalia; Carnivora; Ursidae.
GGCUGGUCUGAGUGCAGUGGUUUCAUAAUUAAUUCAUCACACCCAGUUACAGAUUUCUUUGUUCCUUCUCCACUCUCACGGCUUCAUGUGACUAGCAAAA